GAUGAACGCUGGCGGCGUGCCUAACACAUGCAAGUCGAGCGAACGGACGCGACUUGCUCUUUUCUGUUGUUAGCGGCGGACGGGUGAGUAACACGUGGACAACCCACCUCUAUGACUUGGAUAACUUCGGGUAACCGUAGUUAAUACCGGAUAAUUUUUUCAACCGCAUGGUUCAAAAGUGAUAGAUGGUCUUUCUGUCACUUAUAGAUGGAUCCGCGCUGCAUUAGCUAGUUGGUACGGUAACGACUUAACAAGUCAGCGAUGCAUAGCCGACGUGAGAGGGUGGUCGGCCACACGAGAGCGGGAACGGGGACCAUGCUACUGCGAGAGGCAGCAGUAGGGUAUCUGACGCAGUGGGCGAGAGCCUGACAGAGCAGCGCCGCGUGAGAGGUAAAGGUCUUCGGAUCGUAAUACUCUGUUAUUGGGGAAGAACAUAUGUGUGUGGGGAUGAAGACAAAGUGACGGUACCUGAUCAGAAAGCAACGGCUAACUACGUG
Molecule: ribosomal RNA, 497 nt
Filed under: uncultured bacterium
Lineage: Bacteria
Description: partial 16S ribosomal RNA
Rfam family: Bacterial small subunit ribosomal RNA
Source: RNAcentral